This is a non-coding RNA of Camellia sinensis, 844 nucleotides long. The record is from RefSeq and is a predicted model, not a curated record. NCBI's taxonomy places the organism in Eukaryota, Viridiplantae, Streptophyta, Magnoliopsida, Ericales, Theaceae.
UUCAAUUAAGAAUUAAUUAAUUUAUAUAAUUAUAUUAAAAUAUUGGGUCAAAGGAUAAUUAUCUUAAAUAUUUAUUUAGGAUAAGAUUGAAUUUAUAUAUAUUAAUGGCGAAUCUGGAAAGAGACGCGUGGCUGGACACCUGUUGGUUAGGGAUUGGGUUUCGUCCCUAUAAUUAGGACGAUUGAUCAACCUGGAGAAGAAGAAACAGAAAUAAAGAGAAGAAAAGAAAGAGAGAAGAAAGAAGAAAGAAAGGAAAGAAAAGAGAGGAAAGGAAGGAAAGAAUAGUGGACGCUAAAAGGUAUUUGAUAGUGUAAAGGAAGAUUGAGGUAUUAAAGUUAAGGUGACAUGUCGAGACCAGCGCGUGGGGUAGGCACAAAACACUUUUAUUGGUGUAUUUUUUUAAUGUAAAAAUCGGCAUUUUUGGUCAAUACCUUUUGUAAUAAAAAUAGAAGCUCCAAUAAUUAUUUUAGUACCCUUAUUUAUAUAUUUCUUCCGCUUGCGUUUAUUAAUUUGUUUAAAGAAUUGGCCGGAGGUAACUUCAGUUACUGGCCAUCACGAUGCCUAACCCUUGGGUACGGGGAACGGGUCGUGACAGUUCCCGUUGGAGAUAGUGGUCAGAUGUUGUUGGAGGACACGAGGUGUGGAAGGAUAAAAAAGGACCCACCUACCGAAGUGUUGCCACCCACUGGCGGCAACGAAGGUGGUGGCUGGUGGUUGGUGGUAACGGUGGGUAGUGGCCGAAGGUGGUAUGUGAGAGGAGAAAGUGAAAACUUAUUUUAAAACAAGUGAAAACACAUUUUUUGUGUUUUCAAAAAUUUUGAAAAAUUUGAAUCAAUUUCAUUUU